CAANUUUCAGCAACGGAUCUCUUGGCUCUCGCAUCGAUGCGCAGCNAAAUGCGAUAAGUAAUGUGAAUUGCAGAAUUCAGUGAAUCAUCGAAUCUUUGAACGCACCUUGCGCCCUCUGGUAUUCCGGAGGGCAUGCCUGUUUGAGUGUCAUUA
RNAcentral lists this ribosomal RNA (153 nucleotides) under Lentinula boryana. RNAcentral describes it as "5.8S ribosomal RNA". It matches the Rfam family "5.8S ribosomal RNA". Rfam says of the family: 5.8S ribosomal RNA (5.8S rRNA) is a component of the large subunit of the eukaryotic ribosome. It is transcribed by RNA polymerase I as part of the 45S precursor that also contains 18S and 28S rRNA. Lineage: Eukaryota; Fungi; Basidiomycota; Agaricomycetes; Agaricales; Omphalotaceae. The record is from RNAcentral.